This 655-nucleotide long non-coding RNA is filed under the name Homo sapiens (human). Its description in RNAcentral is "non-protein coding lnc-DCUN1D1-13:1". The record is from RNAcentral. Lineage: Eukaryota; Metazoa; Chordata; Mammalia; Primates; Hominidae.
AUCCUCACCUCUGUUUUAAAACUUCCAUGACAUGGGUUCUUAUUCCCAGACCAUUCUGAGCGCCAUCUCACAUUCCCUCAUGCCCCUAAAUUUAAAUUUUAAGCCAUUACUUUCCAUAAAGCUCAAGAUGUAAAAAACCUAUUUUAACAUUCUUCAAUAUGUAAAAAUCACCACCAUCAAUAAUGGUUUUUUCAUUUACACACAUUGAAGUCUCAUAAAAAUCAGUAUUUUGUGUGUGUAUAUAUAUACAUAUGCAUGUAUGUACUUUUUUCCUCCAAGAUUUUACAUUUGCUUUCUGGAGACUUGUUAUAACAAGCAGUAUUAUCAGCGUUAUAAUUGCUUUUUAAAAUUUAGUGCUUCCUUGUGUGCCAGACUCUGUGCCCAGCACUCUACAAACAUUAUCUCAUUUAAUCCUAUCAAUCUCUGUAAGACAAAGCAAACAAAAACGUAAAGUGGGGAAAGGGAACCCUAUUCAACAAAUGGUGCUGGGAUAAUUGGCAAGCCAUAUGUAGAAGAAUGAAACUGGAUCCUCAUCUCUCACCUUAUACAAAAAUCAACUCAAAACUAAUAUAUUAAUACUUUGGACUAUUUUCAAAAGUAAAGUUGAAAUAAAUUGAUUUUACAGAUCAAUCUUUACUUAAGCUUGGUGAGAACC